Etheostoma spectabile (orangethroat darter) is the source of this 628-nucleotide long non-coding RNA. RefSeq lists it as uncharacterized. The transcript has 3 exons. NCBI's taxonomy places the organism in Eukaryota, Metazoa, Chordata, Actinopteri, Perciformes, Percidae. The record is from RefSeq and is a predicted model, not a curated record.
GGGGGUGGUGGUGUUCAUCUAAAGCAGCUGCGUUAAUAUCAGGGAACAACCAGGACAUUCAGACAUGAGCAAACUAUGUGAAUGGAAACAUUGUUACUUUAACAGUUUUUAACGUUUUUCAAUUGAUUGCAACAAACUCCAUCAAAACAUCAAACAAAAACUCCGUGACUCCAUCUGGAAAAUUAUGAUAUGAUUUCGUGUUUUUGACCCCCUGAAUUUACCGUUGGACACACCUCUGCAUGAGACGGGACGCUCCAGACUGCAGCCAUACCAGUCUCUACUGGGAGGACUGGGAGGACUGGAAGCUUUAAUCAAACCCUUUGAUAGAGAAUGUGAGUCUGAUCCGUUAUUCCGGUCCGGGACCUUUCAGCAUGGGGAUACUGGGACUUCAUUAAAACAGCUUUUUAGGAGUUUCUGCUUCUCUCACUUCCCGUAGACUACUAAAUCCAGACCAAGCCAAUAUUCUAGUCGGUCUACAGCCAGAUGAGAUGCUGCUGAGGCGGUUCCAGAAGGGGACUGGAUGAGUUGGAGGGAGAAGAUGGUCUGCAGCAUCCUGCUGCUCCUCAUCCUGACCUCCUGUGUCCUCUGGAACAUUUGUAGUGAAUGUGACCCCAGACCUCCUAUCAGG